RNAcentral lists this ribosomal RNA (253 nucleotides) under uncultured prokaryote. RNAcentral's name for it is "partial 16S ribosomal RNA". It matches the Rfam family "Bacterial small subunit ribosomal RNA", at positions 525 to 777 of the family's 1533-position model. The record is from RNAcentral.
ACAGAGGGUGCGAGCGUUGUCCGGAAUCACUGGGCGUAAAGGGCGCGUAGGUGGCCCGACAAGUCUGUGGUGAAAGCUCGACGCUCAACGUCGAGUCGGCCAUAGAUACUGUUGGGCUGGAGCACUGUAGAGGCUCAUGGAAUUCCGAGUGUAGAGGUGAAAUUCGUAGAUGUUCGGAAGAACACCAGUGGCGAAGGCGACUUACUGGACACAUAUUGACGCUGAGGUGCGAAAGCGUGGGGAGCAAACAGGA